This 899-nucleotide ribosomal RNA is filed under the name uncultured Bacillus sp. RNAcentral describes it as "bacterial SSU rRNA". It matches the Rfam family "Bacterial small subunit ribosomal RNA", at positions 26 to 904 of the family's 1533-position model. Lineage: Bacteria; Bacillati; Bacillota; Bacilli; Caryophanales; Bacillaceae. The record is from RNAcentral.
AGGAUGAACGCUGGCGGCGUGCCUAAUANCAUGCAAGUCGAGCGAAUCUAAGGGAGCUUGCUCCCAAAGAUUAGCGGCGGACGGGUGAGUAACACGUGGGCAACCUACCUGUAAGACUGGGAUAACUUCGGGAAACCGGAGCUAAUACCGGAUAACAUAUGAGACCACAUGGUCUCAUAUUAAAAGAUGGCUUCUCGCUAUCACUUACGGAUGGGCCCGCGGCGCAUUAGCUAGUUGGUGAGGUAACGGCUCACCAAGGCAACGAUGCGUAGCCGACCUGAGAGGGUGAUCGGCCACACUGGGACUGAGACAUGGCCCAGACUCCUACGGGAGGCAGCAGUAGGGAAUCUUCCGCAAUGGACGAAAGUCUGACGGAGCAACGCCGCGUGAGCGAAGAAGGUCUUCGGAUCGUAAAGCUCUGUUGUUAGGGAAGAACAAGUAUCGUUCGAAUAGGGCGGUACCUUGACGGUACCUAACCAGAAAGCCACGGCUAACUACGUGCCAGCAGCCGCGGUAAUACGUAGGUGGCAAGCGUUAUCCGGAAUUAUUGGGCGUAAAGCGCGCGCAGGCGGUCCUUUAAGUCUGAUGUGAAAGCCCACGGCUCAACCGUGGAGGGUCAUUGGAAACUGGGGGACUUGAGUGCAGAAGAGGAGAGCGGAAUUCCACGUGUAGCGGUGAAAUGCGUAGAGAUGUGGAGGAACACCAGUGGCGAAGGCGGCUCUCUGGUCUGUAACUGACGCUGAGGCGCGAAAGCGUGGGGAGCGAACAGGAUUAGAUACCCUGGUAGUCCACGCCGUAAACGAUGAGUGCUAAGUGUUAGAGGGUUUCCGCCCUUUAGUGCUGAAGUCAACGCAUUAAGCACUCCGCCUGGGGAGUACGGUCGCAAGACUGAAACUCAA